AAAUUGAAGAGUUUGAUCAUGGCUCAGAUUGAACGCUGGCGGCAGGCCUAACACAUGCAAGUCGAACGGUAACAGGAAGCAGCUUGCUGCUUCGCUGACGAGUGGCGGACGGGUGAGUAAUGUCUGGGAAACUGCCUGAUGGAGGGGGAUAACUACUGGAAACGGUGGCUAAUACCGCAUAACGUCGCAAGACCAAAGAGGGGGACCUUCGGGCCUCUUGCCAUCAGAUGUGCCCAGAUGGGAUUAGCUUGUUGGUGAGGUAACGGCUCACCAAGGCGACGAUCCCUAGCUGGUCUGAGAGGAUGACCAGCCACACUGGAACUGAGACACGGUCCAGACUCCUACGGGAGGCAGCAGUGGGGAAUAUUGCACAAUGGGCGCAAGCCUGAUGCAGCCAUGCCGCGUGUAUGAAGAAGGCCUUCGGGUUGUAAAGUACUUUCAGCGGGGAGGAAGGUGUUGCGGUUAAUAACCGCAGCAAUUGACGUUACCCGCAGAAGAAGCACCGGCUAACUCCGUGCCAGCAGCCGCGGUAAUACGGAGGGUGCAAGCGUUAAUCGGAAUUACUGGGCGUAAAGCGCACGCAGGCGGUCUGUCAAGUCGGAUGUGAAAUCCCCGGGCUCAACCUGGGA
This 629-nucleotide ribosomal RNA is filed under the name Salmonella enterica. Its description in RNAcentral is "bacterial SSU rRNA". It matches the Rfam family "Bacterial small subunit ribosomal RNA", at positions 1 to 619 of the family's 1533-position model. Lineage: Bacteria; Pseudomonadati; Pseudomonadota; Gammaproteobacteria; Enterobacterales; Enterobacteriaceae. The record is from RNAcentral.